RNAcentral lists this ribosomal RNA (170 nucleotides) under uncultured bacterium. RNAcentral's name for it is "partial 16S ribosomal RNA". It matches the Rfam family "Bacterial small subunit ribosomal RNA", at positions 338 to 525 of the family's 1533-position model. The record is from RNAcentral.
CCUACGGGAGGCAGCAGUGGGGAAUAUUGCACAAUGGGCGAAAGCCUGAUGCAGCGACGCCGCGUGAACGAUGAAGUAUUUCGGUAUGUAAAGUUCUAUCAGCAAGGAAGAAAAUGACGGUACUUGACUAAGAAGCCCCGGCUAACUACGUGCCAGCAGCCGCGGUAAUA